RNAcentral lists this ribosomal RNA (253 nucleotides) under uncultured bacterium. RNAcentral describes it as "partial 16S ribosomal RNA". It matches the Rfam family "Bacterial small subunit ribosomal RNA", at positions 524 to 776 of the family's 1533-position model. The record is from RNAcentral.
GACAGAGGUCCCGAGCGUUAGGCGGAAUCACUGGGCUUAAAGCGUGUGUAGGCGGCGGCCUAAGUACCUUGUGAAAUCCCACGGCUCACCCGUGGAACUGCUCGGUAUACUGGGUCGCUUGAGCCACUUAGGGGCUACCGGAACAAAUGGUGGAGCGGUGAAAUGCGUAGAUAUCAUUUGGAACGCCAAUGGUGAAGACGCUCGGCUGGGCCUGUCCUGACGCUGAGGCACGAAAGCGUGGGGAGCAAACAGG